AGAGUUUGAUCCUGGCUCAGGAUGAACGCUGGCGGCGUGCCUAAUACAUGCAAGUCGAGCGAACGGACGAGAAGCUUGCUUCUCUGAUGUUAGCGGCGGACGGGUGAGUAACACGUGGAUAACCUACCUAUAAGACUGGGAUAACUUCGGGAAACCGUAGCUAAUACCGGAUAAUAUUUUGAACCGCAUGGUUCAAAAGUGAAAGACGGUCUUGCUGUCACUUAUAGAUGGAUCCGCGCUGCAUUAGCUAGUUGGUAAGGUAACGGCUUACCAAGGCAACGAUGCAUAGCCGACCUGAGAGGGUGAUCGGCCACACUGGAACUGAGACACGGUCCAGACUCCUACGGGAGGCAGCAGUAGGGAAUCUUCCGCAAUGGGCGAAAGCCUGACGGAGCAACGCCGCGUGAGUGAUGAAGGUCUUCGGAUCGUAAAACUCUGUUAUUAGGGAAGAACAUAUGUGUAAGUAACUGUGCACAUCUUGACGGUACCUAAUCAGAAAGCCACGGCUAACUACGUGCCAGCAGCCGCGGUAAUACGUAGGUGGCAAGCGUUAUCCGGAAUUAUUGGGCGUAAAGCGCGCGUAGGCGGUUUUUUAAGUCUGAUGUGAAAGCCCACGGCUCAACCGUGGAGGGUCAUUGGAAACUGGAAAACUUGAGUGCAGAAGAGGAAAGUGGAAUUCCAUGUGUAGCGGUGAAAUGCGCAGAGAUAUGGAGGAACACCAGUGGCGAAGGCGACUUUCUGGUCUGUAACUGACGCUGAUGUGCGAAAGCGUGGGGAUCAAACAGGAUUAGAUACCCUGGUAGUCCACGCCGUAAACGAUGAGUGCUAAGUGUUAGGGGGUUUCCGCCCCUUAGUGCUGCAGCUAACGCAUUAAGCACUCCGCCUGGGGAGUACGAC
RNAcentral lists this ribosomal RNA (897 nucleotides) under Staphylococcus aureus M0008. Its description in RNAcentral is "bacterial SSU rRNA". It matches the Rfam family "Bacterial small subunit ribosomal RNA", at positions 8 to 886 of the family's 1533-position model. The record is from RNAcentral. Lineage: Bacteria; Bacillati; Bacillota; Bacilli; Caryophanales; Staphylococcaceae. RNAcentral also lists the same sequence under 2 other names.